UGGGGAAUAUUGCACAAUGGGCGAAAGCCUGAUGCAGCGACGCCGCGUGAGUGAAGAAGUAUUUCGGUAUGUAAAGCUCUAUCAGCAGGGAAGAAAAUGACGGUACCUGACUAAGAAGCCCCGGCUAACUACGUGCCAGCAGCCGCGUUAAUACGUAGGGGGCAAGCGUUAUCCGGAUUUACUGGGUGUAAAGGGAGCGUAGACGGCGAAGCAAGUCUGAAGUGAAAACCCAGGGCUCAACCCUGGGACUGCUUUGGAAACUGUUUUGCUAGAGUGUCGGAGAGGUAAGUGGAAUUCCUAGUGUAGCGGUGAAAUGCGUAGAUAUUAGGAGGAACACCAGUGGCGAAGGCGGCUUACUGGACGAUAACUGACGUUGAGGCUCGAAAGCGUGGGGAGCAAACAGG
RNAcentral lists this ribosomal RNA (404 nucleotides) under Fusobacteriota bacterium. RNAcentral describes it as "Fusobacteria bacterium partial 16S ribosomal RNA". It matches the Rfam family "Bacterial small subunit ribosomal RNA", at positions 355 to 776 of the family's 1533-position model. The record is from RNAcentral. Lineage: Bacteria; Fusobacteriati; Fusobacteriota.